This 1619-nucleotide ribosomal RNA is filed under the name Staphylococcus aureus Sau 47. RNAcentral's name for it is "bacterial LSU rRNA". It matches the Rfam family "Bacterial large subunit ribosomal RNA", at positions 1307 to 2925 of the family's 2925-position model. The record is from RNAcentral. Lineage: Bacteria; Bacillati; Bacillota; Bacilli; Caryophanales; Staphylococcaceae.
UAGCGAAAGACGGGUGAGAAUCCCGUCCACCGAUUGACUAAGGUUUCCAGAGGAAGGCUCGUCCGCUCUGGGUUAGUCGGGUCCUAAGCUGAGGCUGACAGGCGUAGGCGAUGGAUAACAGGUUGAUAUUCCUGUACCACCUAUAAUCGUUUUAAUCGAUGGGGGGACGCAGUAGGAUAGGCGAAGCGUGCGAUUGGAUUGCACGUCUAAGCAGUAAGGCUGAGUAUUAGGCAAAUCCGGUACUCAUUAAGGCUGAGCUGUGAUGGGGAGAAGACAUUGUGUCUUCGAGUCGUUGAUUUCACACUGCCGAGAAAAGCCUCUAGAUAGAAAAUAGGUGCCCGUACCGCAAACCGACACAGGUAGUCAAGAUGAGAAUUCUAAGGUGAGCGAGCGAACUCUCGUUAAGGAACUCGGCAAAAUGACCCCGUAACUUCGGGAGAAGGGGUGCUCUUUAGGGUUAACGCCCAGAAGAGCCGCAGUGAAUAGGCCCAAGCGACUGUUUAUCAAAAACACAGGUCUCUGCUAAACCGUAAGGUGAUGUAUAGGGGCUGACGCCUGCCCGGUGCUGGAAGGUUAAGAGGAGUGGUUAGCUUCUGCGAAGCUACGAAUCGAAGCCCCAGUAAACGGCGGCCGUAACUAUAACGGUCCUAAGGUAGCGAAAUUCCUUGUCGGGUAAGUUCCGACCCGCACGAAAGGCGUAACGAUUUGGGCACUGUCUCAACGAGAGACUCGGUGAAAUCAUAGUACCUGUGAAGAUGCAGGUUACCCGCGACAGGACGGAAAGACCCCGUGGAGCUUUACUGUAGCCUGAUAUUGAAAUUCGGCACAGCUUGUACAGGAUAGGUAGGAGCCUUUGAAACGUGAGCGCUAGCUUACGUGGAGGCGCUGGUGGGAUACUACCCUAGCUGUGUUGGCUUUCUAACCCGCACCACUUAUCGUGGUGGGAGACAGUGUCAGGCGGGCAGUUUGACUGGGGCGGUCGCCUCCUAAAAGGUAACGGAGGCGCUCAAAGGUUCCCUCAGAAUGGUUGGAAAUCAUUCAUAGAGUGUAAAGGCAUAAGGGAGCUUGACUGCGAGACCUACAAGUCGAGCAGGGUCGAAAGACGGACUUAGUGAUCCGGUGGUUCCGCAUGGAAGGGCCAUCGCUCAACGGAUAAAAGCUACCCCGGGGAUAACAGGCUUAUCUCCCCCAAGAGUUCACAUCGACGGGGAGGUUUGGCACCUCGAUGUCGGCUCAUCGCAUCCUGGGGCUGUAGUCGGUCCCAAGGGUUGGGCUGUUCGCCCAUUAAAGCGGUACGCGAGCUGGGUUCAGAACGUCGUGAGACAGUUCGGUCCCUAUCCGUCGUGGGCGUAGGAAAUUUGAGAGGAGCUGUCCUUAGUACGAGAGGACCGGGAUGGACAUACCUCUGGUGUACCAGUUGUCGUGCCAACGGCAUAGCUGGGUAGCUAUGUGUGGACGGGAUAAGUGCUGAAAGCAUCUAAGCAUGAAGCCCCCCUCAAGAUGAGAUUUCCCAACUUCGGUUAUAAGAUCCCUCAAAGAUGAUGAGGUUAAUAGGUUCGAGGUGGAAGCAUGGUGACAUGUGGAGCUGACGAAUACUAAUCGAUCGAAGACUUAAUCAA